UGGCUAGUAGCUCAGUGGUAGAGCUCCCGCUUCGUAUACGGGAAAACCUGUGUUCAAUCCCCGGUUGCCUAC
This 72-nucleotide transfer RNA is filed under the name Toxocara canis (dog roundworm). It matches the Rfam family "tRNA". From Rfam's summary of the family: Transfer RNA (tRNA) molecules are approximately 80 nucleotides in length. Their secondary structure includes four short double-helical elements and three loops (D, anti-codon, and T loops). The record is from Rfam by way of RNAcentral. Lineage: Eukaryota; Metazoa; Nematoda; Chromadorea; Rhabditida; Toxocaridae.